AACGAACGCUGGCGGCAUGCCUAACACAUGCAAGUCGAACGAAGGCUUCGGCCUUAGUGGCGCACGGGUGCGUAACGCGUGGGAAUCUGCCCUUUGGUUCGGAAUAACAGCUGGAAACGGCUGCUAAUACCGGAUGAUGACGAAAGUCCAAAGAUUUAUCGCCAGAGGAUGAGCCCGCGUUGGAUUAGGUAGUUGGUGGGGUAAAGGCCUACCAAGCCGACGAUCCAUAGCUGGUCUGAGAGGAUGAUCAGCCACACUGGGACUGAGACACGGCCCAGACUCCUACGGGAGGCAGCAGUGGGGAAUAUUGGACAAUGGGCGCAAGCCUGAUCCAGCAAUGCCGCGUGAGUGAUGGAGGCCCUAGGGUUGUAAAGCUCUUUUACCCGGGAAGAUAAUGACUGUACCGGGAGAAUAAGCCCCGGCUAACUCCGUG
Molecule: ribosomal RNA, 433 nt
Filed under: uncultured bacterium
Lineage: Bacteria
Description: partial 16S ribosomal RNA
Rfam family: Bacterial small subunit ribosomal RNA
Source: RNAcentral